Molecule: long non-coding RNA, 347 nt
Filed under: Chinchilla lanigera (long-tailed chinchilla)
Lineage: Eukaryota; Metazoa; Chordata; Mammalia; Rodentia; Chinchillidae
Description: lncRNA (ENSCLAG00000024937.1)
Source: RNAcentral
CAGUGAACGAGGUAGCCAGACCGCGCUUCCUUCCAACCAAAAUGCUGGCUAAAGUGUGUUUUGAAAACGCAUCUGUGAGCUGAUGUGGAAGUGAGAAACUCUGAGCUCCAAGCAAGCUGAGAUGAAGACCUCCGGGGGCUGCACCCCACAGAGCUGAGAUUCACCCAGCCCUGGGCAGGAGCCAGGCAGGAGCUGCCAUCGUAGAGCGCAGGCGACCCCCCUGCACGGCCCAGGAGUGGUGCUUUUCACUGGUGACUUCACUCCACCCUCAGGACGUGUCAGCGGCUGCCAGAGUCUCCACUGAACGCCACCCGUUAUCUUUGGGACACAGCUACCUUCCUUCCCCG